UGGGGAAUAUUGGGCAAUGGAGGCAACUCUGACCCAGCAAUGCCGCGUGAGCGAUGAAGGCGUUUUGUUGUAAAGCUCUUUUCUUGGGAACGAACAAAUGACGGUACCCAAGGAAUAAGCCCCGGCUAACUACGUGCCAGCAGCCGCGGUAAUACGUAGGGGGCAAGCGUUGUCCGGAAUGACUGGGCGUAAAGGGUGUGUAGGUGGUUUGAUAAGUUAGAUGUGUAAUACCCAGGGCUUAACUCGGGUGCUGCAUCUAAAACUGUCAGACUUGAGUGCUGGAGAGGAUAGCGGAAUUCCUAGUGUAGCGGUGGAAUGCGUAGAUAUUAGGAGGAACAUCAGUGGCGAAGGCGGCUAUCUGGACAGUAACUGACACUGAGACACGAAAGCGUGGGGAGCA
RNAcentral lists this ribosomal RNA (400 nucleotides) under uncultured bacterium. Its description in RNAcentral is "bacterial SSU rRNA". It matches the Rfam family "Bacterial small subunit ribosomal RNA", at positions 355 to 770 of the family's 1533-position model. The record is from RNAcentral.